AUUGAACGCUGGCGGCAUGCUUUACACAUGCAAGUCGAACGGCAGCGCGGGCUUCGGCCUGGCGGCGAGUGGCGAACGGGUGAGUAAUACAUCGGAACGUGCCCAGCAGUGGGGGAGAGCGCGGCGAAAGCCGGAUUAAUACCGCAUACGACCUGAGGGUGAAAGCGGGGGAUCUUCGGACCUCGCGCCAUUGGAGCGGCCGAUGGCAGAUUAGCUAGUUGGUGGGGUAAAGGCCUACCAAGGCGACGAUCUGUAGCUGGUCUGAGAGGACGACCAGCCACACUGGGACUGAGACACGGCCCAGACUCCUACGGGAGGCAGCAGUGGGGAAUUUUGGACAAAGGGCGAAAGCCUGAUCCAGCCAUGCCGCGUGUGUGAUGAAGGCCUUCGGGUUGUAAAGCCCUUUUGGCGGGAACGAAAAGGACUGUGCCAAUACCACGGUUCGAUGACGGUACCCGCAGAAUAAGCACCGGCUAACUACGUG
Molecule: ribosomal RNA, 484 nt
Filed under: uncultured bacterium
Lineage: Bacteria
Description: partial 16S ribosomal RNA
Rfam family: Bacterial small subunit ribosomal RNA
Source: RNAcentral